RNAcentral lists this ribosomal RNA (1429 nucleotides) under Leuconostoc pseudomesenteroides. RNAcentral describes it as "bacterial SSU rRNA". It matches the Rfam family "Bacterial small subunit ribosomal RNA". Lineage: Bacteria; Bacillati; Bacillota; Bacilli; Lactobacillales; Lactobacillaceae. The record is from RNAcentral.
UUUGCGGGUGCUAUAAUGCAGUCGACGAACUCUGGUAUUGAUUGGUGCUUGCAUCAUGAUUUACAUUUGAGUGAGUGGCGAACUGGUGAGUAACACGUGGGAAACCUGCCCAGAAGCGGGGGAUAACACCUGGAAACAGAUGCUAAUACCGCAUAACAACUUGGACCGCAUGGUCCGAGCUUGAAAGAUGGCUUCGGCUAUCACUUUUGGAUGGUCCCGCGGCGUAUUAGCUAGAUGGUGGGGUAACGGCUCACCAUGGCAAUGAUACGUAGCCGACCUGAGAGGGUAAUCGGCCACAUUGGGACUGAGACACGGCCCAAACUCCUACGGGAGGCAGCAGUAGGGAAUCUUCCACAAUGGACGAAAGUCUGAUGGAGCAACGCCGCGUGAGUGAAGAAGGGUUUCGGCUCGUAAAACUCUGUUGUUAAAGAAGAACAUAUCUGAGAGUAACUGUUCAGGUAUUGACGGUAUUUAACCAGAAAGCCACGGCUAACUACGUGCCAGCAGCCGCGGUAAUACGUAGGUGGCAAGCGUUGUCCGGAUUUAUUGGGCGUAAAGCGAGCGCAGGCGGUUUUUUAAGUCUGAUGUGAAAGCCUUCGGCUCAACCGAAGAAGUGCAUCGGAAACUGGGAAACUUGAGUGCAGAAGAGGACAGUGGAACUCCAUGUGUAGCGGUGAAAUGCGUAGAUAUAUGGAAGAACACCAGUGGCGAAGGCGGCUGUCUGGUCUGUAACUGACGCUGAGGCUCGAAAGUAUGGGUAGCAAACAGGAUUAGAUACCCUGGUAGUCCAUACCGUAAACGAUGAAUGCUAAGUGUUGGAGGGUUUCCGCCCUUCAGUGCUGCAGCUAACGCAUUAAGCAUUCCGCCUGGGGAGUACGGCCGCAAGGCUGAAACUCAAAGGAAUUGACGGGGGCCCGCACAAGCGGUGGAGCAUGUGGUUUAAUUCGAAGCUACGCGAAGAACCUUACCAGGUCUUGACAUACUAUGCAAAUCUAAGAGAUUAGACGUUCCCUUCGGGGACAUGGAUACAGGUGGUGCAUGGUUGUCGUCAGCUCGUGUCGUGAGAUGUUGGGUUAAGUCCCGCAACGAGCGCAACCCUUAUUAUCAGUUGCCAGCAUUAAGUUGGGCACUCUGGUGAGACUGCCGGUGACAAACCGGAGGAAGGUGGGGAUGACGUCAAAUCAUCAUGCCCCUUAUGACCUGGGCUACACACGUGCUACAAUGGAUGGUACAACGAGUUGCGAACUCGCGAGAGUAAGCUAAUCUCUUAAAGCCAUUCUCAGUUCGGAUUGUAGGCUGCAACUCGCCUACAUGAAGUCGGAAUCGCUAGUAAUCGCGGAUCAGCAUGCCGCGGUGAAUACGUUCCCGGGCCUUGUACACACCGCCCGUCACACCAUGAGAGUUUGUAACACCCAAAGUCGGUGGGGUA